This 433-nucleotide ribosomal RNA is filed under the name uncultured bacterium. RNAcentral describes it as "partial 16S ribosomal RNA". It matches the Rfam family "Bacterial small subunit ribosomal RNA", at positions 29 to 507 of the family's 1533-position model. The record is from RNAcentral.
AACGAACGCUGGCGGCAUGCCUAACACAUGCAAGUCGAACGAGACCUUCGGGUCCAGUGGCGCACGGGGGCGUAACGGGGGGGGAGCUGUUCUUAGGUUCGGACUAACGCCCCGUAAGGCGUGCUAAUACCGGAUAAUCUCGUCGGACCCAAGAUGUAAAGUCUCUGGCUGGUGCCGAGUUGGAGUAGCUAGUUCGUAGGGUAAAAGCCUACUAAGGCGACGAUCCAUAGCUGGUCUGAGAGGAUGAUCAGCCACGCUGACACGUAGACACGGCCCAGACUCCUGCGGGCGGCAGCAGUGGGGACUGUUCGACAAUGGGCGAACGGCUGAUCCAGCAAUGCCGCGUUGGUGAUGAGGGCCGUAGGGUUGUAAAGCUCUUUUACCCGGGAUGAUAAUGACAGUACCGGGAGAAGAAGCUCCGGCUAACUCCGUG